RNAcentral lists this ribosomal RNA (490 nucleotides) under uncultured bacterium. RNAcentral's name for it is "partial 16S ribosomal RNA". It matches the Rfam family "Bacterial small subunit ribosomal RNA", at positions 30 to 507 of the family's 1533-position model. The record is from RNAcentral.
AUUGAACGCUGGCGGCAUGCCUUACACAUGCAAGUCGAACGGCAGCAUGAUCUAGCUUGCUAGAUUGAUGGCGAGUGGCGGACGGGUGAGUAAUACAUCGGAACGUGCCCUGUAGGGGGGGAUAACUAGUCGAAAGAUUAGCUAAUACCGCAUACGACCUGAGGGUGAAAGUGGGGGACCGCAAGGCCUCAUGCUAUAGGAGCGGCCGAUGUCUGAUUAGCUAGUUGGUGAGGUAAAGGCUCACCAAGGCGACGAUCAGUAGCUGGUCUGAGAGGACGAUCAGCCACACUGGGACUGAGACACGGCCCAGACUCCUACGGGAGGCAGCAGUGGGGAAUUUUGGACAAUGGGCGAAAGCCUGAUCCAGCAAUGCCGCGUGUGUGAAGAAGGCCUUCGGGUUGUAAAGCACUUUUGUCCGGAAAGAAAUGGCUCUGGUUAAUACCUGGGGUAGAUGACGGUACCGGAAGAAUAAGGACCGGCUAACUACGUG